GACGAACGCUGGCGGCGUGCCUAAUACAUGCAAGUCGAGCGAAUGGAUUAAGAGCUUGCUCUUAUGAAGUUAGCGGCGGACGGGUGAGUAACACGUGGGUAACCUGCCCAUAAGACUGGGAUAACUCCGGGAAACAGGGGCUAAUACCGGAUAACAUUUUGAACCGCAUGGUUCGAAAUUGAAAGGCGGCUUCGGCUGUCACUUAUGGAUGGACCCGCCUCGCAUUAGCUAGUUGUUGAGGUAACGGCUCACCAAGGCAACGAUGCGUAGCCGAACUGUGAGGUGGAUCGGCCACACUGGGACUGAGAACCGGCCCAGACUCCGACGGGAGGCAGCAGUAGGGAAUCUUCCGGAAUGGACUAAAGUCUGACGGAGCAACGCCGCGUGAGUGAUGAAGGCUUUCGGGUCGUAAAACUCUGUUGUUAGGGAAGAACAAGUGCUAGUUGAAUAAGCUGGCACCUUGACGGUACCUAACCAGAAAGCCACGGCUAACUACGUGCCAGCCGCCGCCGUAA
RNAcentral lists this ribosomal RNA (515 nucleotides) under uncultured bacterium. RNAcentral's name for it is "partial 16S ribosomal RNA". It matches the Rfam family "Bacterial small subunit ribosomal RNA", at positions 28 to 523 of the family's 1533-position model. The record is from RNAcentral.